CAGCACAAAUUUGAAAAAGCUCAGGAUCUUCCCAAAGAUAAUACUUGAUUUGAGCAAAGAAUCGAUCCUUUUCAUUUUUAGACCAACCAUUAGGAAUUUGUCCAACUGCUAAGUAAUUCAUAAUAUCUGCAAACCAAGGAGCCUUUGUAUGUGAAACUAUCAGAAGUUGUUCAUCUGAAAAAGAUUUUUCAAUUGAUGCAGGUUCACAAUCUUUAACUAAGAUCCUUGAUAGGUGGUCUGCUACAAUAUUUUCAGAUCCCUUCUUAUCUCG
RNAcentral lists this long non-coding RNA (271 nucleotides) under Elaeis guineensis (African oil palm). RNAcentral's name for it is "long non-coding RNA (EGUI_LNC010456)". The record is from RNAcentral. Lineage: Eukaryota; Viridiplantae; Streptophyta; Magnoliopsida; Arecales; Arecaceae.